GCCUACGGGAGGCAGCAGUUAGGAAUCUUGGACAAUGGGCGCAAGCCUGAUCCAGCCAUGCCGCGUGAGUGAUGAAGGCCUUAGGGUUGUAAAGCUCUUUCAGCGGGGAAGAUAAUGACGGUACCCGCAGAAGAAGCCCCGGCUAACUUCGUGCCAGCAGCCGCGGUAAU
This 170-nucleotide ribosomal RNA is filed under the name uncultured Alphaproteobacteria bacterium. RNAcentral describes it as "partial 16S ribosomal RNA". It matches the Rfam family "Bacterial small subunit ribosomal RNA", at positions 337 to 524 of the family's 1533-position model. Lineage: Bacteria; Pseudomonadati; Pseudomonadota; Alphaproteobacteria. The record is from RNAcentral.